Molecule: ribosomal RNA, 468 nt
Filed under: uncultured bacterium
Lineage: Bacteria
Description: partial 16S ribosomal RNA
Rfam family: Bacterial small subunit ribosomal RNA
Source: RNAcentral
GACGAACGCUGGCGGCGUGCUUAACACAUGCAAGUCGAACGGAAAGGCCCUGCUUUUGUGGGGUGCUCGAGUGGCGAACGGGUGAGUAACACGUGAGUAACCUGCCCUUGUCUUUCGGAUAACUUCAGGUAACUGGGGCUACUACCGUAUAGGAUCUCCUGCUGCAUUGUGGGGGUUGGAACGUUUAGGCUGUUGGGGAUGGACUCGCGGCUUAUCAGCUUGUUGGUGGGGGAGUGGCUUACCAAGGCUUUGACGGGUACCCGGCCUGAGAGGGUGACCGGCCACAAUGGGACUGAGAUACGGCCCAGACUCCUACGGGAGGCAGCAGUGGGGAAUAUUGCACAAUGGGCGGAAGCCUGAUGCAGCAACGCCGCGUGCGGGAUGACGGCCUUCGGGUUGAAAAAAGCUUUCGCCUGUGACGAAGCGUGAGUGACGGUAAUGGGUAAAGAAGCACCGGCUAACUACGUG